AGGGUUUGAUCAUGGCUCAGAACGUACGCUGGCGGCACGCCUAACACAUGCAAGUCGAACGAAGUAGCAAUACUUAGUGGCAGACGGGUGAGUAACAUGUGGGUAUCUACCCUUUGGCCUGGAAUAACACGAGGAAACUUGUGCUAAUACUGGAUAAGUCUUUACGGAGAAAGCUUUAUGCACCGUUGGAUGAGCCCGCACUUGAUUAGUUUGUUGGUGGGGUAAUGGCCUACCAAGACUGUGAUCAAUAGCUGAUUUGAGAGGAUGAUCAGCCACAUUGGGACUGAGACACGGCCCAAACUCCUACGGGAGGCAGCAGUGGGGAAUCUUGCACAAUGGAGGAAACUCUGAUGCAGCGAUGCCGCGUGAGUGAAGAAGGCCCUUGGGUUGUAAAGCUCUUUCGUCGGGGAAGAAAAUGACCGUACCCGAAUAAGAAGGUCCGGCUAACUUCGUGCCAGCCGCCGCGGUAA
Molecule: ribosomal RNA, 470 nt
Filed under: uncultured bacterium
Lineage: Bacteria
Description: bacterial SSU rRNA
Rfam family: Bacterial small subunit ribosomal RNA
Source: RNAcentral